CUAAUGUUGAAAAAUUAGCGGAUGACUUGUGGCUGGGGGUGAAAGGCCAAUCAAACCGGGAGAUAGCUGGUUCUCCCCGAAAGCUAUUUAGGUAGCGCCUCGUGAAUUCAUCUCCGGGGGUAGAGCACUGUUUCGGCAAGGGGGUCAUCCCGACUUACCAACCCGAUGCAAACUGCGAAUACCGGAGAAUGUUAUCACGGGAGACACACGGCGGGUGCUAACGUCCGUCGUGAAGAGGGAAACAACCCAGACCGCCAGCUAAGGUCCCAAAGUCAUGGUUAAGUGGGAAACGAUGUGGGAAGGCCCAGACAGCCAGGAUGUUGGCUUAGAAGCAGCCAUCAUUUAAAGAAAGCGUAAUAGCUCACUGGUCGAGUCGGCCUGCGCGGAAGAUGUAACGGGGCUAAACCAUGCACCGAAGCUGCGGCAGCGACGCUUAUGCGUUGUUGGGUAGGGGAGCGUUCUGUAAGCCUGUGAAGGUGUGCUGUGAGGCAUGCUGGAGGUAUCAGAAGUGCGAAUGCUGACAUAAGUAACGAUAAAGCGGGUGAAAAGCCCGCUCGCCGGAAGACCAAGGGUUCCUGUCCAACGUUAAUCGGGGCAGGGUGAGUCGACCCCUAAGGCGAGGCCGAAAGGCGUAGUCGAUGGGAAACAGGUUAAUAUUCCUGUACUUGGUGUUACUGCGAAGGGGGGACGGAGAAGGCUAUGUUGGCCGGGCGACGGUUGUCCCGGUUUAAGCGKGUAGGCUGGUUUUCCAGGCAAAUCCGGAAAAUCAAGGCUGAGGCGUGAUGACGAGGCACUACGGUGCUGAAGCAACAAAUGCCCUGCUUCCAGGAAAAGCCUCUAAGCAUCAGGUAACAUCAAAUCGUACCCCAAACCGACACAGGUGGUCAGGUAGAGAAUACCAAGGCGCUUGAGAGAACUCGGGUGAAGGAACUAGGCAAAAUGGUGCCGUAACUUCGGGAGAAGGCACGCUGAUAUGUAGGUGAAG
Molecule: ribosomal RNA, 985 nt
Filed under: Escherichia coli
Lineage: Bacteria; Pseudomonadati; Pseudomonadota; Gammaproteobacteria; Enterobacterales; Enterobacteriaceae
Description: bacterial LSU rRNA
Rfam family: Bacterial large subunit ribosomal RNA
Source: RNAcentral